Podarcis lilfordi (Lilford's wall lizard) is the source of this 72-nucleotide non-coding RNA. The record is from the annotation of a GenBank genome assembly. NCBI's taxonomy places the organism in Eukaryota, Metazoa, Chordata, Lepidosauria, Squamata, Lacertidae.
UGGAAUAGCUCAGCCAUUAGAGCACUAGCCUUUUAAUCUCAAAGUUGUGGGUUUGAGCCCCACACUGGACAA